UACAGAGGUCUCAAGCGUUUGUUCGGAUUCAUUGGGCGUAAAGGGUGCGUAGGCGGCGCGGUAAGUCGGGUGUGAAAUUUCGGAGCUUAACUCCGAAACUGCAUUCGAUACUGCCGUGCGUUGAGGACUGGAGAGAGAUGGAAUUUACGGUGUAGCAGUGAAAUGCGUAGAGAUCGUAAGGAAGACCAGUGGCGAAGGCGGGUCUCUGG
RNAcentral lists this ribosomal RNA (209 nucleotides) under uncultured bacterium. RNAcentral describes it as "partial 16S ribosomal RNA". It matches the Rfam family "Bacterial small subunit ribosomal RNA", at positions 524 to 732 of the family's 1533-position model. The record is from RNAcentral.